GGCGGGAGCGGGGGAGCGGGAGGUGAAGGUGAAGAGCAGCAGCGGGCUCGGGGCUGGCUGCGGCUGCUCGCUGGGCUGUGCGGCUGUGCCCAGAGGGCGGAGUUCCCGCACGCUGCUGCCUCACCGGAGAACCUGCCCUCGGCGCAGCGCUCCGCAGCCGGGACCCCACCGCCGCCGCCCUCCCCGCACCGCUCUGUGUGGCCUCGCUUCCCCCCGGGCUCGGGGAGCCGGGAGGUGGCGGAGCGGCGCUGCCCCCAGUCCUCGUCCUCGGGCGGGGUUCCCGAGCACCUCUCACACCGCAAAGCGCGUGUCUAACGCCAGGAUUUUUCUUUUUUCUUUUUGGUCUCUUUUCGAAGCGUUUCCUCCCCCCGUCUCCCCUCCCCCUCGCUCCCAUCGGAGCCACCACCCGCCCGGAGCGGGUCUGCGUCCGCUCUCGGAACCGCCGGAGAAGCUGCAGGAAGAGCGGGGAAGGGCGCACCGUCGGCUGCGAUCACUGGAGGCAAACAUCGAAUUAAUUGGAUCUUGGUGGCUGAGGCUGGUAACAGUGUAUUGAACGGAGUUAUCUGCCGCAAUGCCCAGGUGUCUGCCAGAAUGUCAGGACAUUCUAGACCAGAUCUCUCCUCCUGUCUGCCGGGAGGGCUGAACUGUAAAUCUGUCUCGAGUGAUGCACCCUACACCGUGGGUAGGUGCGUCACUUCGGAGCCGGAGAGAGAUGGGAGCUCAUCCGAGGAGCUUUCAGACACCUCCGUGGGAUGGGUCGUUAGGGAGUGUCGGAAUCCACACGAAAUUGCAGAUCUAACAUGUGAGGAACAUAAAGCCCCGCUCUCUGACAGUGGGAGCGCAAACACGCAGACACGCGGGACUGAGCCUGGUGCUUGCUGAGCACUGUGACUCACGGCUUUGGGCCUCGGUGCUGGUUUGCAAAAUGCCUCACACACGUCCUGCUGCAGUCGAUAGCCGGAAAGCUACCGACCGUGUGAGUCAUGAGCCGUCAGCAAAAGACUUCGCCCGCUCUUCCAGCGCCUAAUAAAAGAAUUAAACAGAUGCCCUUAUCUUCUUCUGAAGAAAAACGAAAGAAAGAAAGAAAAUGUGGCAAUGCACUGUGACUUUCUCAGGAGCGCUGAAAUCCUGCCCCUGGGAUCUGGUUCUUCCCCUCUCCACCGCCGUGCGGCAUUCCCUAUAGCGUACGCCUACCGCCAGGCGCCCUUAAGCAUCUCAACAGAAUUGCUCUUUGGCAUCGAAACUGCUGGCUGCGGCUGAUGCCACGAGUCCGCGCAGAAAAGUGGCCAGGGCUUUUCUCACGGCUGGAGAAGCGUGUCCAUAAAUCGAUAGAUUCUCUCGGUGUGGAACCCGGGGGAGGGGGUCCCGAACAGGCGACCCCUUUUCUCUGUUCUUGUGUUGCCCGAGUCUCUGAGCGGCUUUCCCGAGCGCUGGGACGGCCGAGACACGGGGCCGGGGGGUCGGGGCCGUGCCUGGACUGCGCUCUGCUUAUGGUCGGAGAUUUGUGGGAGUAGAGAGAACCCUGACAGCCAGAGUGGGACCUGGCCGGGAGCGGGCUCCGUGAUGGAGGAUGGCUGCAUGCUCGUGAUGCGAAGGGCGGAACAGGACAGCGCGCUGGCACCGAGAGCUUUUUUUUUUUUUUUUUUUUUUUUUUUGUUCAUUAGAACCAAAAGGAAAAAUGGAG
Molecule: long non-coding RNA, 1684 nt
Organism: Gallus gallus (chicken)
Lineage: Eukaryota; Metazoa; Chordata; Aves; Galliformes; Phasianidae
Source: Ensembl